Molecule: long non-coding RNA, 583 nt
Organism: Daphnia magna
Lineage: Eukaryota; Metazoa; Arthropoda; Branchiopoda; Diplostraca; Daphniidae
Exons: 2
Source: RefSeq, a predicted model, not a curated record
AACGUUUAGAAUUUAUAUUACCACGAAUUUUCCAGAUGGCGAUGUCUUCAAACCAACUGAUAUGUCAUAACUCCAAGAUGACGAAAAUAGUGUUUUUUGUGUGUUCAUAAUUGCAACGAUGAUGGAAGGACGUUGAUCAGUCGUGCCCCUGCUACUGUACAAACAUAUCAGUUCAAGGCCACAGAAAACUUGUUCAUGGUCAUCCUUGUUACUCCCGGAGGAAGUAUGAAUACAUGUUGGUGCAGAGAUGAAGGGGAUCAACCCUUCUUCUCUGUGUUGGGACUGUUGGGGGUGAAUAAAGGUAUUUUUCGUCUAUGGUUGUACACGCAAGCUUUUUGCCAUAUUUUAGGAUAGAAAGGAUGAAAAGGAAAAUUUAAAAAAAGAACAGAAGACACCAAUAUCGUAUGCCAAAACGAUGUGUAUACGCGCUUAGCAAUUACGGAAUAACACACUACAAGGGUGUUAGGCACAAUCGACAAAUACCGGGUGAAACCAAACGAAUAACUCGGAACAAAUAUUCUUUGAUUCAAAAAUGGCAAGCUGCUAUAUGAAUACAAACGCGAACGCAAUCUCCUUAUAAAAA